AUUGAACGCUGGCGGCAUGCCUUACACAUGCAAGUCGAACGGUAACAGGUCUUCGGAUGCUGACGAGUGGCGAACGGGUGAGUAAUACAUCGGAACGUGCCUAGUAGUGGGGGAUAACUACUCGAAAGAGUGGCUAAUACCGCAUGAGAUCUACGGAUGAAAGCAGGGGAUCGCAAGACCUUGUGCUACUAGAGCGGCCGAUGGCAGAUUAGGUAGUUGGUGGGAUAAAAGCUUACCAAGCCGACGAUCUGUAGCUGGUCUGAGAGGACGAUCAGCCACACUGGGACUGAGACACGGGCCAGACUCCUACGGGAGGCAGCAGUGGGGAAUUUUGGACAAUGGGCGAAAGCCUGAUCCAGCAAUGCCGCGUGCAGGAUGAAGGCCUUCGGGUUGUAAACUGCUUUUGUACGGAACGAAAAGCCCCGGGUUAAUACCCUGGGGUCAUGACGGUACCGUAAGAAUAAGCACCGACUAACUACGUGCCAGCCGCCGCCGUAA
RNAcentral lists this ribosomal RNA (498 nucleotides) under uncultured bacterium. Its description in RNAcentral is "partial 16S ribosomal RNA". It matches the Rfam family "Bacterial small subunit ribosomal RNA", at positions 30 to 523 of the family's 1533-position model. The record is from RNAcentral.